GAGAAGCUAAGGAAGGGGAACCUGAAGGGGAGAAAGACUUUUGAAGAAGAAGAUGAUCCAAAGAGGGAUCUUGAAUAUAACCCAGAUGUGGAUUGAGAUCCCAUCCCUUUUGUGAACCCUGUCUUAGUGUAGAUAGGUGUGAGACUUUUAUGUUGUAAAUAGUAUUGUAAAUAUACUAUGAGUUGUGCUGUUAAUGAAAGUGUGGUUAUGAAUUUCAAUAUGAAAAAUAUGGCCUACUUUCCUAUCCCAUUGUUUUAUUGUCUGGGGAUUUAUAACUGCUUCCGCAUGUGCUUAAUAAAAAGAAAGGGUCGGCGAUACAUAGUCCUGGGAUAUCGCAUUAUAAAAUCGACCAAGUAGAAGGAUGUGCGCGAGUCCGAGGAUCGGGGCGUGACAUCCCCUUUUUGUGGUAUCAGAGCGAAGUUCAAGAUUGGAGUGAUAAGGAGCGUUGACCAUGGGAUAGUUAAUAGGAAAGGCCUUUAAAUUCAUGCUGGUGCAUGUUUAUGUUAGCUGAAUGCUAAAAUUGUUUGUGGUGUGUGGAUCGCUCACCUUCUAAUCCAGUGUGGGUUUGGAAGUCGGGUUGCAGUGUAAAGACUGAACCAUGAGCGAGCAGGAGCUGAGAACUCCUAGUAAGAGGACAAUGUCCUUUGUAACUCGGGAUGAUGCACUGACUAAGGUCAGUACCCGAGGUGGUUAUGGCAGAGUGUUGGCUCUGGCCAGCUCGAGUGUAAGAGUACCACCGCAAGUUGGUACUAGUGUAGCAGCGUCGAAUGAUCCUAAGUUCGAUAGGAUCGUUCUGAUGCUAGUGUUCCUUGGGAAUUGGAUGAGCCAGCAAGCUCAGGAUCAAGCCGCUGAUGUUGUCGUUAUCAUUACCGCUUUUGUCGCUUCUCAUGCUGAGAUCCAGAGUGGAGAUGUAGAUGUGAUCCAGGAGCGAGUCAUUGUAUUCGAGUUGAGGUAUAGAUCCAGUUCAGGCAGAAAUGGAAAUCGGUCAGGGAAAAGACCGAGGUCGAGAGAAAAGCAUUCUAUUCCACUCUCGAGGAAGGAUGGAGUAGUCAAGUCGGCACCGAGUCAAAUAGAUCAGGUUGUUUUCGGACGUGAUGAUGGAGAUCGGCAUUUUGUCCUUCCUAGGACACGAAUUUGUUUGGAGUAUAGCUAGCGGGGAUAUUUGGUCGGGAGUGAUCCUAGCAGAAUGAUGGGGCAACCAGAAAGAGUGCAUGCUUUCGCCUAAUAGAAGAUAAAAGAUGCACCAGAUAGGUGUCAGAAUUGUAGAAGAAAGUAUGGAUAAAUCCAGUGUCCGGGUAUGACUAGAACAUGUUGUGAUGAUGACUAGCAGGGCCAUCAGGUGAAGGAUUGUCAGUGGAAGUCCAAGGUAGCAUAGGCAUCGCUACUGCGGCAGAACGCCACUAGGAUGGCGAAAGGAAUGGGAGUAGAAUUGAUCUUGCACCGAUUAGAGAAAGAAUGUAUUGGAGGUGAUUUUAUCAGAGUAACGUAGCAGAGUUUUGUGCUGAGUUCGUAGAACUUAAAUUGUUGAAGUAAAAGUGAAAGAGAAGGGAAUCACUAGCAAUAGUUGUGCUUGACUAGUUGCUGAGAUGUGAGUUUGACAUCACAUGAAUAGUGUGAGUUCAUAAAGCAUCUUGUAAUAAGGAAUCAUGGUCAUGGAAUAAUCCAGUUUAGUCUAUUAGUUUGCAAAAAUAGCAAGAUUAUUAAGAGUCGAAAAGAAUCUUCGAUUUCAUUAAUCUCGUUGGCUAAAGACAAUCCGUUUGUUAGGCAGAGGUUGCCAAGAUUGAUUUGACAACGGUAGUGGAUGUGUCAGUUAAGAAAUAGAAUGAGAAGAAGGUGGCCGUGAUACAGAAAAUUUAUAAGAUGGUUCCAAAGGAAUUGCUUGGGUUACCGCCAGAAAGAAAGAUUGAAAUUGCAAUUGAGAUGGCACCAGGAUAGAGCCGCUCUCGAAGACUUCUUACCAGCUGUUGUUGUCUAAAGUGGUAGAAUUGAAGAUGCAGAUGUGAAGAUUGAUGAAUGAGGAAUUCGUGUAUAUCGGUGCAUCACUUUUGGGAAACAUCAGUUUUGUUUGUGAGAAGAAGAAAGAUGGUUUAUUGCGAGUGUGCAUCAACUAUCGUCAACUCAAUUAGGUGAAGAUCAAGGACAAGUGUUCUUUGCCAAAGAUCAAUGAAUGGUGUGACUAGUUAUAAAGAGUAUCGAUGUUUUAAAGGUCGACUUGAGAUUAUGAAGUCGUUAGUUACGAACCAGGAAGGAGGUUGUACGAAAGACAGCUGUUCGUACUUGAUAUGGUCUUUACGAGAGUAUUGUAAGAUCGUUUGGCUUGGUGAACACUCCAGUUUCUGUCAUGGAUUUGACAAGCAGAACGUUCAAUGAAUAAGUGGAUCAUCAGUUUGUGAUUGUGUUCGUUGAUGACAUCUUAGUCUAUUCGAGAAGUGAUGAAGAGCAUGAGAAUCAUCUGAGAUUAGUGCUUCAGACCUUAAGAACUCAUCACCUGUAUGCUAAGUUUAGCAAAUGCGAGUUUGGUUGACUCGUGUUGCGUUCUUAGGUCAUGUGAUUUCUUGAGAAGGAAUCUCUGUCGACCUAAGCAAGAUAGAAGCCGUGAUCAAGUGGCCGAGACCGACAUCAGUGACAGAAAUCAGAAGUUUUCUGAGGGUUAACAGGUUAUUACAGACGGUUUGUGGAAGGGUUCUCAUCGAUAGCAUCACCUCUGACAAAGCUCCCGAAGAAAAGUGAGAAGUUCAUAUGGUCAGACAAGUGCGAGCGUAGUUUCCAAGAGCUGAAGGAAAAGCUGACUACCGCACCUGUGCUGAUGAUUCAAUCUGGUCCUGGAGGAUUCGAGAUCUAUAGUGAUGCGUCAUUCAGGGGAUUGGGUUGCGUGCUGAUGCAACAUGGCAGAGUUGUUGCAUACGCUUCCAGGCAAUUGAGACCUCAUGAAUUGAACUAUCCGACGCAUGACUUAGAGCUCGCCGCGAUUAUCUUUGCCUUGAAGAUUUGGAGACACUACUUGUGCGGGGAAAAGUUUCAGAUCUUCACGGACCAUCAGAGUCUCAGGUAUUUAUUCUCUCAGAAGGAGUUGAACAUGAGACAGCGCAGAUGGAUGGAAUUGCUGAAAGACUACGACUGUGAUAUUUUAUAUCACCCAGGAAAGGCGAAUAAGGUCGCCGAUGCUUUAAGUUGAAAAUCUUUAGUGGCUCAUAUACUGAUUAAGGAGUGGAACUUAAUCGAGAGAGCUCGAGAUUCGGUAUUCAAAUUUGAGGUAGGCCGCUUUUCAAGUUUUAUGGCCGCCCUCAGAAUUGAACCGGAUGUCCAGGUCAGAAUUAAACAACUCCAACCGAUAGACCCGGAUGUGCAGAGAAUUCUUCAGGAGGACGCAGAGAAAAGAAAGGCUGAUUUUCAGAUUGCUGAUGACGGAACACUAAGAUUCCAAGGACGAUUGGUUGUACCUGAUGAUGUAGAGCUUAGAGAAGAAAUUUUAUCUAAAGCACAUCGUAGCAAUUACAGCAUUCAUCCUGGAAGCACUAAGAUGUAUCAGAAUUUGCGUCAACACUACUGGUGGUCAGGUAUGAAGGCGGACAUCGCCAAGCAUGUGGCCAAGUGUUUGACUUGUCAACAAGUAAAAGCCCAGCAUUGCAAGCCGGGAGGACUUUUGCAACCUCUCGUGAUCCUAGAGUGGAAAUGGGAACAUAUCACGAUGGACUUCGUGACUGGACUACCAAGGAGUCAGAGGGGGAAUGAUUCGAUAUGGGUAGUAGUCGACAGGUUGACAAAGUCGGCUCACGUCAUUGCAGUUCGAAAGGACCUGAGUCUGGAUAGACACGCAGACCUAUAUGUGCGCCAAGUGGUUCGAAUGCAUGGAGUGCCGGUUACGAUAACAUCUGAUAGAGACCCGAGAUUUACUGCUGCAUUUUGGAAGAGCUUGCAGAGUGCUCUUGGUACAAAGCUUCAGUACAGUACGGCAUAUCAUCCUCAAAUGGAUGGCCAGUCCGAGAGGACAAUUCAGACCCUCGAGGACAUGCUGAGAGCAUGUGUUAUAGACUUCAAGGGAAGUUGGGAAGAUCAGCUUCAUCUGGUAGAAUUCGCCUACAACAACAGUUAUCAGCAGAGUAUUCAGAUGGCUCCAUUUGAAGCGUUGUAUGGCAGAGCAUGCAGAACACCAGUAUGUUGGGAUGAAGUCGGGGAAAGAAAGAUAACAGGCCCAGAGUUGGUUCAGCAGUCAGUAGAUGCCGUGACAGUGAUCAGAGACAGAUUAAAGACAGCGCAGAGCAGGCAGAAAAGUUAUGCAGAUAAGCGUCGAAGGUCUUUGGAAUUCCAAGUUGGUGAUUACGUUUUUCUGAAAGUAUCACCAAUGAGGGGAACUUCGCGCUUUGGUAAGAAAGGCAAACUGAGUCCAAGGUACGUAGGUCCGUUUGAGAUUCUUGAGAGAAUCGGGACCUUAGCGUAUCGUCUUGCGUUGCCGCCAAGAUUGGCGCAAGUGCAUGACAUCUUUCACGUGUCGAUGUUGAGGAAGUACGAGCCUGACUCGACCCACGUACUCAAUUUUGAAGAAUUGGACGUGGAUGACCGUGUGUCAUACGUAGAAAGACCGGUCCAGCUUGUCGAUCGCAAAGAGCAAGUUCUGCGUACAAAGACCAUCCCAUUGAUCAAAGUGGUCUGGCAACACCACGGUACAGAAGGAGCGACAUGGGAGACUGAGGAGUCAAUGAGAGAAUUGUACCCCCACCUUUUUAAUCAAGUCUUGUAAGGUUUAAAUUUCGAGGACGAAAUUUUUAUAAGAGGGGAAGAGUUGUGACAUCCCAAAUUUUCAACCCUGUCUUCUACUGAAUUAAUCGGGCAUUUCAUUGAUGCGUCUAUAGGGUUAUUCUCAGAGCCGAUCACUCUCGAGAUAACUAGACUAGCUGGGGAAAUUAUUAAGGAAUUUUAAGGCAAUAGACUUGAGAACUCGAUCAGGAAUCGGCUUCUUGACCGUGUCUAUCUUUAGAGGCCAUUGCGACGCAGUAUAAAAUCGAUUAGAGAUCAGAGAUAGGUCGGUUCGACUGAGAUGUGUGGCUAAUCGUGGGUGACACCACUAAAUUAGAAAAUUCUCAUCGGCCGACACUAGACUGAUUUUCUUAUUGUUUUGGUACCCUGUGUCCGUAAUUGAAUCCUCGAGAUUUUCACGACAAUCAAGAGUCGCCAUUGAGUCGAGUGGAUUUAUAGUGGCUCGAAGAAAAUCGACCACGGGUCAUUUGCCUUAAAAAGUUCUGAAAACUACCCGAUAGUCUAGGUCACGCUAAAAACGCGCCGAAUGAAAAUUAACCGCCAAUUCGAGUCCGAUUUCAGAAAUUGAAGUUUUGGCCAUGUCACAAUAAAUUUUAGGAGCAUCGACUCAGUCUCAGAAGAUUUUCGAAGAUUCGGGAAAUUUUACGGAAAUUAGGUUCGGACGUCGCGGAAAUUUGGCAGAAGUUCAGAUUGGCUAAAUUAAUGGGAAAUUGGACUUUCAGAUUGAGCCAUUGUGUGUCGGGGAUUUAUAGAAAAUCAUUUGGGAUUUUUCUACGUCGACUUAGACUCGGCUCUGACUNNNNNNNNNNNNNNNNNNNNNNNNNNNNNNNNNNNNNNNNNNNNNNNNNNNNNNNNNNNNNNNNNNNNNNNNNNNNNNNNNNNNNNNNNNNNNNNNNNNNUAGGCCUAAAUUGGAUUUUAAUGUUUAUUUAUUUAUUUUCGAAAUUUAUUAUUUAAUUAAUUAUUUUUCCGGAAAUUCAACCGGGAUGGCCGGUGACCGGAAUUUUGUGCUGAUUGUCGUGGUGCAGUCCGUUUAUUUAUUUGAGCUCUACGUUGUGUGGAAUUGAAUUUAUUGUGGAAUUUUAGGAAUUGUCCUAAAUUGUUUGUUAUUGAAUAUUUGAUUGGUAAUGGCUAAGCUUGGAUAUAUAGCGCCGGUACGUUGAUGGGCUAUAUAGUAGGGAGAAUGGUGAGACCAAUCAGGUACGAUAUUUUUGGACAUACGUGGUUCGGUGAUUGGAAGUAUCACUGGCGAAAACGGCGCCUUAAAGAACGCACGUGAAUGACUUAUAGACAAACGUGGUUCGGUGAUUAUGGGAAUAUCACUGGUGAAAACGGCGCCUUAAAGAACGCACGAUGUUGUCUAUAGCCGAUGUCACCUUGGCGAAAACGACGCCCUUAAAAGGACACGUGGUUCGGUGAUCAAGGUUAUCACUGGUGAAAACGGCGCCUUAAAGAACGCACGGUGUCGGUGAUCGGUAUGUCAUUGGCGAAAACGACGCCCGAGAAACACAUGUGAUUUGGUGAAUGAGUACACCACUGAGAAAGCGUGGUAUGAGUGGGAAUGACCUAGAGAGGGUCUGGCUGACAUGUAAUCGACUUAGUCGAUUGAUCAAUGCUUGAUCGAAUGUCGUGAAUUGUUUGAAUACUUGUGUUUAACCGUGAAUUGCAGGUUGGAACUGAGGCCAAGGUAAGUCCUCUGACUCGUGUUGUGCUUAGGCAACCGUAUGGCGUAUUAGUUUAUUAAUCGAGUCUUAGUGGGUAGGACUCGCUGAGACGUGGUCUCAUUGGUUAUUGAAUAACCAUUUCAGGACCCUGAGGAGAAGCUAAGGAAGGGGAACCUGAAGGGGAGAAAGACUUUUGAAGAAGAAGAUGAUCCAAAGAGGGAUCUUGAAUAUAACCCAGAUGUGGAUUGAGAUCCCAUCCCUUUUGUGAACCCUGUCUUAGUGUAGAUAGGUGUGAGACUUUUAUGUUGUAAAUAGUAUUGUAAAUAUACUAUGAGUUGUGCUGUUAAUGAAAGUGUGG
RNAcentral lists this long non-coding RNA (6775 nucleotides) under Eucalyptus grandis. Its description in RNAcentral is "long non-coding RNA (EGRA_LNC002924)". Lineage: Eukaryota; Viridiplantae; Streptophyta; Magnoliopsida; Myrtales; Myrtaceae. The record is from RNAcentral.